GAAGUGUGGUUCAGUGGUAGAGAGUUCUUCCCUCACAUGCAGGAGGCACUGGGUUCAAUCCUCAGCACCA
RNAcentral lists this transfer RNA (70 nucleotides) under Marmota monax (woodchuck). Its description in RNAcentral is "tRNA.Val". Lineage: Eukaryota; Metazoa; Chordata; Mammalia; Rodentia; Sciuridae. The record is from RNAcentral.